Molecule: transfer RNA, 84 nt
Filed under: Planctomycetes bacterium HGW-Planctomycetes-1
Lineage: Bacteria; Pseudomonadati; Planctomycetota
Description: tRNA-Leu
Rfam family: tRNA
About the family: Transfer RNA (tRNA) molecules are approximately 80 nucleotides in length. Their secondary structure includes four short double-helical elements and three loops (D, anti-codon, and T loops).
Source: RNAcentral
GCCCAGGUGGCGGAACUGGCAGACGCGCCAGCUUGAGGGGCUGGUUCUCUUCGGGGAAUGGAGGUUCGAAUCCUCUCCUGGGCA